Molecule: ribosomal RNA, 169 nt
Filed under: Gaillardiellus orientalis
Lineage: Eukaryota; Metazoa; Arthropoda; Malacostraca; Decapoda; Xanthidae
Description: partial 16S ribosomal RNA
Source: RNAcentral
UCUUUAUAAAUAAUUUAAAUUUGGUUAAUUUAUAAAAAUAAUAAUUGAAUUUAAUUAUUUUAUUUUAUUGGGGUGAUAUGAGUAUAAAUAAUAAUAACUGCUUAAAUAAUAUACUUUUAUAUAAGGAUAAUAAAUGUAUGAUCCUUUUUAAAGAUUAAAAGACUAAGUU